This 254-nucleotide ribosomal RNA is filed under the name uncultured bacterium. RNAcentral describes it as "partial 16S ribosomal RNA". It matches the Rfam family "Bacterial small subunit ribosomal RNA", at positions 524 to 775 of the family's 1533-position model. The record is from RNAcentral.
UACGUAGGGGGCUAGCGUUGUCCGGAAUCAUUGGGCGUAAAGGGCGCGUAGGUGGCCCGGUCAGUUCGUGGUGAAAGCGCGGGGCUCAACCCUGCGUCGGCCAUGAAUACUGCCGCGGCUGGAGCACUGUAGAGGCAGGCGGAAUUCCGGGGUGUAGCGGUGGAAUGCGUAGAGAUCCGGAAGAACACCGGUGGCGAAGGCGGCCUGCUGGUCCAGCACCGGACGUCAGGCACGAAAGCGUGGGGAGCAACAGG